This 460-nucleotide ribosomal RNA is filed under the name uncultured bacterium. RNAcentral describes it as "partial 16S ribosomal RNA". It matches the Rfam family "Bacterial small subunit ribosomal RNA", at positions 338 to 795 of the family's 1533-position model. The record is from RNAcentral.
CCUACGGGGGGCAGCAGUGAGGAAUAUUGGUCAAUGGACGAGAGUCUGAACCAGCCAAGUAGCGUGAAGGAUGACUGCCCUAUGGGUUGUAAACUUCUUUUAUAUGGGAAUAAAAUGUUCCACGUGUGGGAUUUUGUAUGUACCAUAUGAAUAAGGAUCGGCUAACUCCGUGCCAGCAGCCGCGGUAAUACGGAGGAUUCGAGCGUUAUCCGGAUUGAUUGGGUUUAACGGGAGCGUAGGUGGUUUGUUAAGUCAGUUGUGAAAGUUUGCGGCUCAACCGUAAAAUUGCAGUUGAAACUGGCAGUCUUGAGUACAGUAGAGGUGGGCGGAAUUCGUGGUGUAGCGGUGAAAUGCUUAGAUAUCACGAAGAACUCCGAUUGCGAAGGCAGCUCACUGGACUGCAACUGACACUGAGGCUCGAAAGUGUGGGUAUCAAACAGGAUUAGAUACCCUUGUAGUC